This is a non-coding RNA of Chiloscyllium plagiosum (whitespotted bambooshark), 3665 nucleotides long. The record is from RefSeq and is a predicted model, not a curated record. Lineage: Eukaryota; Metazoa; Chordata; Chondrichthyes; Orectolobiformes; Hemiscylliidae.
GGUGAGAAUUGAACCCAGGUCUCUGGCACUGUGAGGCAGCAGUGCUAACCACUGUGCCACCAUGCCGCCCACUAAAUCUUUGUGACAUUCCAUUAUUUCUUUUGAACAGCACACAUCCCCACCUAACUUCAUAUCAUCCAUAAAUUUGGAAAUAUCACAUUUCUCCCCACCUACAAAUCAUUGAUAUAUAUAUACUGUAAACAACUUGGGGGCCCAUGUACUUGUGGGACCCCACUAAUGACAACUUGCUGAUGUGAGGAUGACCUAUUAAUUCUUACUCUCUGUUUUCUGUCUGCUGGCCCCAAUCAGUAAUCCAUGCCAGUAAUUAUAUCCUAUUCCAUAUGUUUUAGUUUUCUAACCAGCCUCCAGUGGGUGACUUCAUCAAAAGUUUUCUGAAAAUCAAAGUAUACUAUAUCCAAAAUAGGGCUGUUGAGGCACACAGGUAAUAUCCCAGCCUCUGAGCAAGAAGGCUCAAGUCCCACCUGCUUUAGAGGUGUGUCACAUUCUGCUUUUUAAUUGCCAUCCCUGAAGUCUACCUUCAGGACCUCAUCCCUCUUCCUGCCUGUGGAAUUGUUACCAAUUUGGACCAUGAUUUCCGGCUGAUUGCUCUUCUUCAAAAGAUGUCCAAUAUCCGGUCCUUGACCCUGGCAUCAGGAAGGCAAUCCACCACCAUGGAAUCAUGCUUCAUGCUACCUAAGCAUCUGAUAGGAUCCCUGGUUGUGGAAUCCUUUAUAAAAGUUGCUCUUCCAUUCUUCUUCCUUCUCCCCUGUAUAGCUGAGUCACCCAUGAAGCCAUGUGCUUGUCUCUGGCUGCAAUCCCCUGGGGAAACAUUGCCCUCACCAGUAUCCCAAUGGAAUACAUUUUAGCCAGCAAGAUAGAUUCUGGGAACCUCUGCACUACUUAUCUCCCUGGUUUUCUGACAUUAUCCAUUCUCUGUCUACCAGUUCAGUGACAUCGCCAGAUCCACUACUUCUCCCAGGUUAUGUGUCUUUAAGCUGUCAAUCAAACUAUGGUCUUACAAUCUUUCUUGCCCCAUACAUUUUGAUAUUGAUUGAUUGUGGAAAACAGUUGAGCAGUCAAACAUUGAUACUUCCAAAAUGAUAUCUUAGGAUUAUGAUAACACCAGCUACGGAAACUGCUAGAAUGGAUUAUCGUCCAAUUCUUGCAUUCGCUGUGUUUUUUUCAGUUUUCUAAAAACUGGUUAUUUAAAUAACUUGACAGUUCAAUGGUUCUACAGUCCUUAUCUGCCCUUCAUAAAUAUUUAUGACUUCCCCAAAGAUUUAUAACUCCAAAACUGCAGGACACUGUCUUUACUAAAGUAAAAAUUAUGUCUAUUUGAAGUCACCAAUGCAUUCAAAUGUGGAACAUGUGGGAGUCUUGUUUACCCAUUCACCCUACUUUCCACUCCCGGUCAGAAAGAUUUCUAUCCGAUAUGGGGACAAACUUCCAGAUCUGGGGGUCUGUCUACCAUUUUGGGUGUGCUGGAGAAUCUCUCGAAUUUCAUGCAAUCCAUUGUGUUUCAAUUUGCUUUCACUAUUUUCUCUUUGUUUACCACUCUUAUCCUAAUAUUUCCUUCCCUCUCAAUUUCUCUUAUUACACCAAGUUUAUUACUGAAUUUAUUGUUUGAAUGUAAAUUCUUUGUUCAGACCUCACUUUACUCAUUUCACAAUCCUUCAAUAUGAUUUGUUCAGGAGAUACACAAUUGUUCCUUCAGAACCCAGAUCUUCUGCAGAGGUAUUUGCACCGUGCCAAUCUCCCAAUUGCAACUACUUGCAAAUGCCAUACCAUGGGGGUUAAAUGGGAAAUGAGGAGAGAUAAUGGUGGAAGAUGGUGCGUUGACAAUACAUGGAGGUUGAGCAGUCUGAAGAACAAUGAUGAACUGCAAUCACAUUCAGUGAGUUUUGGACUGAAAUGAAAAGGACUGUCUGAAAAAUAAGGCUUACGGAUGAAAUUUCUGUACUUUUAAAAAGUAGGCUCUCGAUGUUCAUUGCACUACAAAAGAGUUAAACCAAAUGAAUGGCCACAUUUCAAAGAGGUGACUCAUGACCAUCUUUUCAAGAACAACCAAUACUGAUCUUGACUUCAACAUUCAUAUAUCAUGUAAGCAUUUCAAACAAACAUCUCCUCCUCAACUACUUGCCAUACCACAAGACGGAGAGGAUUGAUAAAGAGCUGCAGUUCUUCAGAAACGAUAGGCCAGGGGUGAGCUUUCUCGGCAUAGAGAACAAAUGUCUGAGGAGGGUCAUAGUCUCAGUCUCAGUUUAGAUUGAUUCAUUCAGACGCACAUCAACUCUUAUCAGGAGAUGCAAUCACCUGGACAACAAUGUUGAACCCAUUGUCCCCACCCUAGCCCUCAGCACAAAACAAUACAACAGGCAACAAUCCAUCCUUCUUAUGCUCACCCAUUCAUUUUCGUCUUGUCUUACCAUACCAUUUUCCUCAAAAUUGAAAUCUACUUGAUAGGUAACAGACAACAAUAAAGUUGACUGGAACACUGAAUAAUGUUUGUGAUGCAGAAACUUUGACGAUAUAAGUGAUGAGUUAAUAAGCUUUUUUAAAAAAAGCCAAAUAUUGCUCCUGUGAAACUCCAGAGUACUUUGCUUCCUCUUCACUUUUUUUCGAUAUAAUGCUAUCUCUUCUGUUUCUGAAUAACUUGAUGAAUGCUGUUUAUAGAAUGGUAAUUAUAUCAUUCAAAUAUGGAAUUGAAGAACAGUGUUUAAUUUAGUGCUUAGAGCAUUGAAAUAGGAAAUCCUGCCCUUUGCUCAAUUUAGAAAGUUUCAUUUGAACUCCUGAUAUAAUGGGAUAACUAUAUAUACAAUAGGAACAUCAUUUUUGGAAAUUGGAUGUUUAAAAUAGUGGUAGAUGGACUUGGGUCAGUUCAGUGAAGUUUUGUUUAUUAAAGGUCAGAAAGUCAUUUGAAGCAGAAACUAACUGAUAACAUUUCCAAGUAGACUUAUGAUCUAGUCAAGGUUCAGCAGGAUACCUGUGGCAUGAAUUAAUGAAAUGUUUGUACUGCUGAGUUUAUGACAGACAGGGGGAAAGAGAUCAGAGAUAUCAGUUUAGGUUUGACUUGAAAUCAGAAGAACUAGGUUUUCAGUUCAGGAGAAACAGUCACCUGAGCAAAAGUGGUUUUAAUUGUGACAUUUUCAAGCUAGGACGUUUUGUGGAGAAGUCCUUAAGUUAGAACUGAAUGAGGUUUAGGUCAUCAGAAUUGGAAAAAAGGCUAAUAUCAACAGAUUUGUUAAGAAGUUUUAAAACUCUCUCACCAGUCCAACAAGGAGAUCUGAAAAGAACAAGUUAAGCAUGAAAUUAAAAGUUGAAAUAGGAGUUAUCAUUCUUUGAGUAGCUAUAAAAGUAGUGUUGGGAAACAGGAUAAAACAUGAUUUGCUCUUUAUGUUAUGACUCUUAAAUUGUUUAGCUUUGUUUGUUAGCUUUUUUUGGUAAUAAACUUGUGUGAUUUUGUUAAAGAAUAUUUGCAGCCUUUUGUGCCUCUGUUCAGUGAUGAAAUACUAAACUUACCCUUCACAAAAGAAAAAUAAACAUAUGAUCUAUAUAUCAUUUUGGGGUCUAACUUCUACAGGGUUAAAGUCAACUGAGAACAUAACAUUAGUUGCAGUGCCACAUUCUUCAUUUGGUUAAAUUGAUGUAAGGGGCUUAUUUUUAGA